UUAAGCGACUAAGCGUACACGGUGGAUGCCCUGGCAGUCAGAGGCGAUGAAGGGCGUGCUAAUCUGCGAUAAGCGCCGGUAAGGUGAUAUGAACCGUUAUAACCGGCGAUACCCGAAUGGGGAAACCCAGUGUGAUUCGUCACACUAUCAUUAACUGAAUCCAUAGGUUAAUGAGGCGAACCGGGGGAACUGAAACAUCUAAGUACCCCGAGGAAAAGAAAUCAACCGAGAUUCCCCCAGUAGCGGCGAGCGAACGGGGAGGAGCCCAGAGCCUGAAUCAGCAUGUGUGUUAGUGGAAGCGUCUGGAAAGGCGCGCGAUACAGGGUGACAGCCCCGUACACAAAAGCGCAUGUGCUGUGAGCUCGAUGAGUAGGGCGGGACACGUGGUAUCCUGUCUGAAUAUGGGGGGACCAUCCUCCAAGGCUAAAUACUCCUGACUGACCGAUAGUGAACCAGUACCGUGAGGGAAAGGCGAAAAGAACCCCGGCGAGGGGAGUGAAAAAGAACCUGAAACCGUGUACGUACAAGCAGUGGGAGCACAGGUUUACCUGUGUGACUGCGUACCUUUUGUAUAAUGGGUCAGCGACUUAUAUUCUGUAGCAAGGUUAACCGCAUAGGGGAGCCGGAGGGAAACCGAGUCUUAAUUGGGCGUUAAGUUGCAGGGUAUAGACCCGAAACCCGGUGAUCUAGCCAUGGGCAGGUUGAAGGUUGGGUAACACUAACUGGAGGACCGAACCGACUAAUGUUGAAAAAUUAGCGGAUGACCUGUGGCUGGGGGUGAAAGGCCAAUCAAACCGGGAGAUAGCUGGUUCUCCCCGAAAGCUAUUUAGGUAGCGCCUCGUGAAUUCAUCUCCGGGGGUAGAGCACUGUUUCGGCUAGGGGGCCAUCCCGGCUUACCAACCCGAUGCAAACUGCGAAUACCGGAGAAUGUUAUCACGGGAGACACACGGCGGGUGCUAACGUCCGUCGUGAAGAGGGAAACAACCCAGACCGCCAGCUAAGGUCCCAAAGUCAUGGUUAAGUGGGAAACGAUGUGGGAAGGCCCAGACAGCCAGGAUGUUGGCUUAGAAGCAGCCAUCAUUUAAAGAAAGCGUAAUAGCUCACUGGUCGAGUCGGCCUGCGCGGAAGAUGUAACGGGGCUAAACCAUGCACCGAAGCUGCGGCAGCGACGCUUAUGCGUUGUUGGGUAGGGGAGCGUUCUGUAAGCCUGUGAAGGUGGCCUGUGAGGGUUGCUGGAGGUAUCAGAAGUGCGAAUGCUGACAUAAGUAACGAUAAAGCGGGUGAAAAGCCCGCUCGCCGGAAGACCAAGGGUUCCUGUCCAACGUUAAUCGGGGCAGGGUGAGUCGACCCCUAAGGCGAGGCCGAAAGGCGUAGUCGAUGGGAAACGGGUUAAUAUUCCCGUACUUGGUGUUACUGCGAAGGGGGGACGGAGAAGGCUAUGUUGGCCGGGCGACGGUUGUCCCGGUUUAAGCGUGUAGGUGUGUGUUCCAGGUAAAUCCGGUUCACUUUAACACUGAGGCGUGACGACGAGGCACUACGGUGCUGAAGCAACAAAUGCCCUGCUUCCAGGAAAAGCCUCUAAGCAUCAGGUAACAUCAAAUCGUACCCCAAACCGACACAGGUGGUCAGGUAGAGAAUACCAAGGCGCUUGAGAGAACUCGGGUGAAGGAACUAGGCAAAAUGGUGCCGUAACUUCGGGAGAAGGCACGCUGACACGUAGGUGAAGUGAUUUACUCAUGGAGCUGAAGUCAGUCGAAGAUACCAGCUGGCUGCAACUGUUUAUUAAAAACACAGCACUGUGCAAACACGAAAGUGGACGUAUACGGUGUGACGCCUGCCCGGUGCCGGAAGGUUAAUUGAUGGGGUCAGCGCAAGCGAAGCUCCUGAUCGAAGCCCCGGUAAACGGCGGCCGUAACUAUAACGGUCCUAAGGUAGCGAAAUUCCUUGUCGGGUAAGUUCCGACCUGCACGAAUGGCGUAAUGAUGGCCAGGCUGUCUCCACCCGAGACUCAGUGAAAUUGAACUCGCUGUGAAGAUGCAGUGUACCCGCGGCAAGACGGAAAGACCCCGUGAACCUUUACUAUAGCUUGACACUGAACAUUGAGCCUUGAUGUGUAGGAUAGGUGGGAGGCUUUGAAGUGUGGACGCCAGUCUGCAUGGAGCCGACCUUGAAAUACCACCCUUUAAUGUUUGAUGUUCUAACGUGGACCCGUUACCCGGGUUGCGGACAGUGUCUGGUGGGUAGUUUGACUGGGGCGGUCUCCUCCUAAAGAGUAACGGAGGAGCACGAAGGUUGGCUAAUCCUGGUCGGACAUCAGGAGGUUAGUGCAAUGGCAUAAGCCAGCUUGACUGCGAGCGUGACGGCGCGAGCAGGUGCGAAAGCAGGUCAUAGUGAUCCGGUGGUUCUGAAUGGAAGGGCCAUCGCUCAACGGAUAAAAGGUACUCCGGGGAUAACAGGCUGAUACCGCCCAAGAGUUCAUAUCGACGGCGGUGUUUGGCACCUCGAUGUCGGCUCAUCACAUCCUGGGGCUGAAGUAGGUCCCAAGGGUAUGGCUGUUCGCCAUUUAAAGUGGUACGCGAGCUGGGUUUAGAACGUCGUGAGACAGUUCGGUCCCUAUCUGCCGUGGGCGCUGGAGAACUGAGGGGGGCUGCUCCUAGUACGAGAGGACCGGAGUGGACGCAUCACUGGUGUUCGGGUUGUCAUGCCAAUGGCACUGCCCGGUAGCUAAAUGCGGAAGAGAUAAGUGCUGAAAGCAUCUAAGCACGAAACUUGCCCCGAGAUGAGUUCUCCCUGAGACUUAGAGUCUCCUGAAGGAACGUUGAAGACGACGACGUUGAUAGGCCGGGUGUGUAAGCGCAGCGAUGCGUUGAGCUAACCGGUACUAAUGAACCGUGAGGCUUAACCUU
This 2906-nucleotide ribosomal RNA is filed under the name Salmonella enterica subsp. enterica serovar Manhattan. Its description in RNAcentral is "bacterial LSU rRNA". It matches the Rfam family "Bacterial large subunit ribosomal RNA". Lineage: Bacteria; Pseudomonadati; Pseudomonadota; Gammaproteobacteria; Enterobacterales; Enterobacteriaceae. The record is from RNAcentral.